Molecule: long non-coding RNA, 8412 nt
Filed under: Jatropha curcas
Lineage: Eukaryota; Viridiplantae; Streptophyta; Magnoliopsida; Malpighiales; Euphorbiaceae
Description: long non-coding RNA (JCUR_LNC000497)
Source: RNAcentral
UUAUGCCAAAUGCCACCUUGGAAAAACAUGCUGAAUAUUCUGGAAAUAUUAACUUUGAUCAGUUCCAAUUUUUUGUAGAAUCUAUAAGAAUCUGUCAAGUCGAUGAGUGCCAAAACAUAAAAGAACUGUCUUGGAAGAUCAACAAGGCUCAAAAUGCAGCGAAUAGUAGCUUCUCUGCUCCUCCUUUGGGCUGAUCUGAUUAUCAACUCAUCAAUCAAAUCUUCAAUGUCAUACAUAAUCUCGAUUAAUACAUAUGGGGCCAACACAUUCUCCGACAAAUCAGCAUAUUCUCGCAACUGGGCUUCGAUCCAUUGGAAUUGAUCUUCAAAUCCAAGCAAUGAAUCAGACUCUUGAACAAGAAGAUUCAAAAUUUUUCCUAAAACAGACAAAACGGUUUGUCUUGCCAUGUCUGGGUUAGUUGUUCUGGGAAAGGAAAGGAUGUUGCAGAAGAGAGAAGUGAAGGGACGAGCCGAAGAGGAGUAAAGUAUGGAGUUUUUUUCUUUAUUUCGAAGGAGCGGUCAAGUAAGGUGCUGGGUUAGGGACAGUACUUGUUAGGAGCUUUUUAGUCUGUAAAGAGAAAUUUUAUGAAUUGCUUUUAUUAUACAAAGUUGGGCAUGGUGAUGAAACUUUGUCUUCGUUGAAUUGAAGUCUUCGUUUUCUUCUACACCGGUAAUUUCUAAGUUAUUGGAUAAUUAGCAUCCCAUAUAGCCUUCUUUCACCUUCUUCAUCUUAAAUACGUGAUAGGGAUGGUUGUUUUUAAAAUGUAAAAUGACAGUUGAUUGUAUAAUUAUUUUUAUUUUCAUAUAGUAUGACAUAUAAUGUGUAUACAUUUAUAUUUCAUUUUAGAGUCAGUAUAUUAUUUUUUUCAGUUAAUUUAUUACAUAAAUAAGAAUAUUUAUUAAAUUUUUUAAAUGAAAUAUAAUUUUUAAAUUAUAAAAAAAAUUAAUUAAAAAAUUUAUUAGUAAUUAUUUUAUAAGAUUAAUGAAAACCCAGCAUAAUUUAAAUAUAAAUCACUUACCUGCAAAUAAGAAAAAGCUUCAAAAUUAAUUUGUAAGAUCAGCAAUUUAUUAGAAACCUUUAUCAUCCAUCAAUUACUGAUUAAAAAGCUUACAAUUUGGCUAUUAGAUAGGAAUGAAUUAGUUAUCAACUAAACGAAUGAAGUCAACCAAUCAUAAGCAAAGCAAAGGAAAGCACAUGUUAUCAAUCAGGUGUAGUUUGAUAGGUCUUCUACCUCUUAUAGAAAAUAUAGAGAGUGAAAAAUCUUGAGUUCGAGUUCUUCGAUGAAUCUUUUUCAAAGAAAAGGACUAUCCCAACCAUUUUGGUCAAUACAUUUCGAGCUCAAACUUGAGCUCAGCUCAUUUAUAGCUGAUUGGGAACCUGUAUUAUCAAUAAAAACUUACAAUUUAAUUGUUGGAUAGAAAUUAAUUGGUUAUCAGCUAAAUGAAUCAACUCAAUCAACCAAAAGCAAUAUGUAGGUAAUGAUGGAAGACGUCAUUGGAGUUUUGUCUUCAUUUACAAAAGAAUAAAGACUCCAAAAGCAAAGGAAGGCACAUAUCCACAUACUAGAAAAGAAUAUAUGCGGAGACUCAUUAAAGUCUUUCUAGUAAUUGGAAUCCUGUAUAGUGCUCUCUUAAAGCAUAUAUAUAUAUAUAUUAAGAUGUUAAUAAUGCACGAAGGGAUUGGAAAUGAGGAUGUGAAUUUAGGAGAGAGAAAAAAAAGGUAUGUUACUGAAACACCUUUAAUUUUUAUUUUCGAAACUUUUGAAUUAUUACUAAAUUAAAAAUCUGAAUUUUCGACUGUCUGAACUGUAAAUGUUGUUUAAUUCUAAUUCGAGCCCAAAUUUACGAAGUUGGGCUCAAGUCCAAAAUAUAUUAUUAAAUAUUUACCGGGUUGAGAACCUUUAGAAAUUUUGUUUAACUAGAUAUGGAGCCCUAACUAUUAAUGUAUUUUAAAUAUGUAAAUGUGAGUGUGGUUACUACAUGAAUUAAUUAUCUUAAAAAUCUAAUAUUAUGAUUAUCAAGAUUAAUAUUAAGUAAAUUGAAGAAAUGUUAUAGAACCUAAUUAAAAUAAUAAAAAACUAAAUAUAAGUAAAAAUAAAUCAAACCGAUUCUGUAAACCAGGUGAGAACCCCGUAAACCAAGCAAGGUCGGGCCAAACUGUUGAUUUGGACCAAACCGUUGAUUUGGACCAAAUCGAUUCGAAUCGAACCGGAAUGGCCCAGAGUUCUCUAGAGCCAUCUUUUCUUUCUUUUUCUUUCUUCUCCUUCUUCUUCUUCUUCCUCCAACGCAGCCUCCUCCUUCCCCCUGGCACCGCGUUUCCGGCCACCGCAAGACGAGCACGAGGUGGCGGACGACGCACCGUGUGCCGCUGACUGCGUUUCCAGCCCCCUCUCACGUGAACGGAGCUCCAGCGGCGCGAUCGGACUGCUUCUGCAAACCGCACCUUGCUCUUCCAUUCUCAGGCGAAAUCUCGCCGUUUAGUCGAUCUCAGGCGACGGGAAGGGUGCCAAUCGACUCCUAAUCACCUCUAGAGCAUUUUCCUUCCAUAAAUUUGCGACUUUACCAAAGAUUUGAGAAGCAAUCGUGCGCGGAGGAGGUGCAGCGGCUGUCGGGCCCAAUUCGGCCAAUUAGAGGACUGAUCUCACUAAACUAACACUAAAAAUGGAAUCCUUGGUGAAUUUUGAGACUAAUGGUAUGAUCGUUGCAAAUUUCUGGGCAGUUUUGCUUUUUCCGGCCUCCGUGUACGGCAGCGGUCCGGCGACACUCAGGCGAGGCAUCAAGAGACAGAAUCUUACUCUCCUCGCGUGGAUCCUAGAAUCGUCACUUGAAUUUCGAUCGGUAUGCCCUAAGUUCUAUUUUCCGAUUUGUGUUAUAAAUUUCAAAUUUAAAUUUAUGGUUUAAUUUAGUUAAUUUUGAAUAGAUAUUUAAUCGAAGGGCUUUGAAAUAUUAGGUUGGAAGCUUGUGAAUUUAAUUGGGGGAUUUUUAAGAGAAUUCGAACUUAGGAUUCACUUGUUAGAAAUUGUGAUUAUAUUAGGUUGAGUACGUAAUUAAAAAUCACUAUUCAACCUAACUAAAUACAUUUAAUGUUGAAAAUCUAGAACAUAAGUCAUUUUGGAAUAAUUGUCAUAAAUCGAAACAUGAAGGACGAAUCGGAAUUAAUUAGUUAGAUAAUUAGAUGAUCGAAUCUAAAUAAAUAGUAGUUAUAAAUAGUUAUUGUUAAAAAUGAGUUGUAACAACUUAACAAUUUAAUUACCAUAAAGUUAUUAAUUUGGUCAGCUUAUGAUUUAACAAAUAAUCUUAUAUGAGUAUUAUUGGGUGUUAAUACUGAUGUUUAAGGAGGAUGGGAAUAAAGCUGAUUGAUUGCCCGAUGGAUGGGCUGUGUGUAUUGAUCGAUAAAUAUAUAAUAAUAGUGUGUUAUCUAAAUAGGUGGAUAGUCCAAUUUUUUAGGGGAGGUUCUGCCAAAAUUUCAAUAGAACAUAAUAAAUAAGCUUAUUUAGAUAAAUUCUAUAAUUUGAUACAUAAUAAAUAAAGUGCUCUAAUUAUUUAUUUAUUAUCAUUAUUAUUCGUUUAAGUAUUCCAUUAUUUAUUUAUUCUCAUUAUUAUUGUUUAUUAUUAUUAUUUAUUUUAUUAUUGUUGUUUAUUGUUAAUACUAUUUAUUUAUGUAGUUAUUUGCAUUGCAUUACGAUGUUUAAUUGAUUAAUAUGCUUGCAUUUAAUUGCAAUACUUGAUUAAUUGUGUUGUGAUAUUGCUGUGUUUUGUUUGUGUGGAAUUGGGAUGAAGUGGGUCACCAUGGGUUUGUGAGACAGUGGGUUACCAUGGGUUUGUGAGGACGGUCGAUAAAGCAUGGAUCCUAAUUGUGAUGAAUUAUGAAAUUGGACCGUCGGCCAAGAAAAUGGGAGAUCGGCGCCCUUGUGUGCACCUAAUACCAUGGAUUAUAUAGAAACCACAGGAUGACCUAUCGUUGUUGCGCACCUGAUAGUCUAGAUUUGAUCGCAGCCCGCAGGGUGGCCUCCUGUUGUGAGCGCCUGAUGAUCUAGAUUGGAUGGAGACCACCGGGUUGCCUCCUGUUGGUAUGGAAAAGAAAAGAGAGAAUGUAAAAACAAUGAGAGGACUGAUCGUGUGAGGAUUAGACUGGUCGGCCAGGUGUGGGGGAUUGGCUCCCCGGGUGCACAUGUCUGAGAGGAUGAGCCAGGUAAGAGUACGGCUCGUCGAGGGUUUCGGUGACGCCACUGACUAAUUUCCACAUGAUGUGAUUAUGUGAAGAUGUUAAUAAUUGUGAGUACUGGUGAUAUGCCAUUUGUGUGACUGGCUGCAUGAGCAUAUAACUAGUCGGAUGACUAGAUUGAUAUAUUUAUACAUUUGUGUGAAUGCGUGUGUUGUGCAAUAAGUAUUACUUCUUAGAAGUCUCACAUAUCUUGUUUAAUUUUUAAGGAAGUAAGUUUCUCUUUAAUUCGGUUAAGUUAUGUUCCUUCGCCGCAGGGCUAGAAGAAAAUUUUUCCAGUUCCAUAAUUAUUUUACUAUGUAAUUAUAUGUAUAAAAAGCUAUGUAUACCAAAUAGUUAGUGACUCUGUAGUUGUAGAAUUUGCUUACAAUUAGUCGUGUAUUAACAUAGAUGAUAUAAUUAUGUGAGCCCAUAUUAAAAAUGUGAUGUAUUGUUAAUUGGGCUCGAACUGUGGAAUGUUGUGGCUGAUAAAUUUGGGCCGAGAUUUAAUAAAAUCUUGAGGUUUAAUUUUCUAUAAAUAUGGGCUGAAUGUUUAAAAUUAUAUUGAAAUAGUAAAUUUUUAGUGUUUCACGCUUACUAAGGGUCUCAGGGGCCUUAAGCUUAUCUGGGCCCUAGUGCCGGUCCAGGCCAUGGAUUCGGGUCGUGACAGUUACAUACACUUUAAAAAAAUACAAUAAUUUGUCUAAACCUGAUUUAUGAAUUCAUUCUAUUUCUAUAGAUCAAAUGAACGAAAACUAUAUAUAUAUUUUAAAAUGAGAGCGUUGCUAGCUAUUACUUAGGAAAAAAAGAAAAAAAAUAAAAGUGAAAAUAAUUUUUAAAGAAAUUCGUAUUUGAUCUAUAGGUAAGUCCAUAUACGGAGAAUAAGAAAUUUUUAUCCUUACAAAAUACCAUUUUUGAAGUUUUUCAAAAAGCCAUUAAAAAAUGAAAAUGAAAAUGACUCUCCAAAUAUCAUUUUGACUAGUUAAGUCUUCAUGUAUAUUUUGGCAACUGCACAAAAGUUAAUCCAACGAAUGACUAUUAAAGUAGUAAAGUCUUACGGUACAAAAAGCACCCUCAUUGAAAAUUAUAAAUUUAAUUAGGCAUACAUACAUAUUUAUUUAUUUAUUUGCAAAUUCACACAAAUUAUCCCAAUUCAAUUAUGUCUCCACAUAACAUGUCAAUAAGUAAGAAAAACCAUAUUAUGAUAAGCUUUAACUUCUGUUCUGCAUUAUCAAUCUUCUAUGCAGAUACGGCGAACAUGCGCAAUUUUAUCCAAAUUCUCAUUUUGUUUAUCUUUCAGGGUUGAUGAUAACAUUGGCAGUUUUAUUAGUUUUACUUCUCGGAGGGUGUCAAUGCAUCGCAGUGCAUCAGGAAGCGUCUUCAAAUUUAUGCAGUGUCUAAUCUCCAGGUGUUUCAGACCAGGCAUUGCUCCUUUCUCCAUAUUCCAUUCCUCCAAUAGCUCCAGCUCCCACAGCUUGAGGACUUCAAGCUUUGGAAAUCCUCCAUCUUUGCAAAGCAUUUUCUUUCCUGAAAAUGAUCUGGAAAACAAUCUCACAAUCCUAAGGUUGGGAAGCUUGUCAAGUGACUGCAUUGGAUCAGCGAUCAGUCCAGAAGCAGACAAGGUGAGUUCAGUGAGGCUUUGGGGAAACUUAGAUAUAAGAUCUUGAUUCUUUAGCUUUCCGACCAAAUAUAUAUCAGAAAGCUCCACAUUGCCUGACAAAGACUGCAAAUGUAGAUCCCAUGGCUGACCUGAUUCAUCAAAUGACUUCAACCUCAGAGAUUGAAGGUGUUUUAGAUUCAGAACCCAAUCUGCUAUAUUAAACAGCUGCAAGGACAUGGCUGCUUUUUGAGAUGGGUCUGAUAUUUUGCAUUUCAGUGCCAAUUUUCUGAUGCUUAACAAACUGUCUAGGCCAUUUUUUACUGGACUAUUCUCAUCAAUGAAUACACCCCAAAAUGUUUGAAGGUCCAUUAGAGAGUUGGGUUCUUGUGGAGGGAAAAAUGUGCUGCAGAAACUCUCAUCUAAGAAUAAAUGUCUUAGUCUUGGCAUCUUCAAGAUAGUAGUGGGGAAAGUAUUGAUGCAAGAGCGCUUCAAAUCAAGCGUUUGAAGGUUUAGCAAUUUAUCAAUGAACAUGGGAAGCAUCUCUAGAUAAGUUGAUCUCAAGCCUAGGUAUCUCAAGUGAGUCAGCUGACCGACUGUCUUGGGCAAUUUUGGCUUGUAAACAUUUUCAAGAUCCAGCACCCAUAAGAAACGGAAGCAAUUGCUAGAGAUGCAUCGAUCAAGAAAGUUCCCUAUAUCUUGUCCUGCUCUACUUCCUUCUCGAGUAUCAAAUGAUAUAAAAGUGACAGUAUCUCUAUAGCAAGAGUCAACGGAAGUGGUGUUAUUACCAUGAAUGUGCUCAAAGAUGGGAUCUUUCUGAUCAAGAUGGUCAGCAACCCGACGCAUCGCACAAGUGUUUUCAUUGUGACCUCGGAGAAAAUUAGCUUCCUUGGCUUUUGCAAACCAGUGUACUCGCAGGGCUUCUGGUAGGGAACACGUCUUAACCUUCCCAUUGGGUUUCCUCUCUGUCACUUGAACCAUAUUAUAACUGAUCAACUCUCUCAAACACGCCUCUGCAGCAUCUUCAGGGGAAUUGUCAUCAUUCUUUUGGCGCCCCAAACCCUCAGCAACCCACAAUGCCAUCAAUCUUCUUGCAGGAACCUUAUAACCCACAGGAAAUAAUCCAAAAUAAAAUAGACAUCGCCUCAAAUACAAUGGCAAAUAUUUGUUGAUCUCUUCCAAGACUGUUGACCAAGGUUCUUCAUCUUGAUUUAGUUGGUCAAGUGCCGUUGACCAUUCCUCUAGAGUUGCUAUUCUAUGUGACAGUAAUUCUGCUAAUUUCACAAUCACCUUAGGCAACCCCCCACAUUUUCUUAAAAUAUGUUUUUUCAGAUUUUGCUCUAGCUCUGGAGGGAUCUUUAUCUUCAAAGCAUGUGUGAACAAUGCCCAGCUCUCAUCAUUGCUUCGCAGAUGCAGUCUGUAAGCAGAGUUGGUCUCGGUGACUGGCGGANNNNNNNNNNNNNNNNNNNNNNNNNNNNNNNNNNNNNNNNNNNNNNNNNNNNNNNNNNNNNNNNNNNNNNNNNNNNNNNNNNNNNNNNNNNNNNNNNNNNNNNNNNNNNNNNNNNNNNNNNNNNNNNNNNNNNNNNNNNNNNNNNNNNNNNNNNNNNNNNNNNNNNNNNNNNNNNNNNNNNCUAAAAUCAUAAUAUAAUUUUGAAGUGUUUUUAUAACCAAGUUCCCAAAAUAUAAUUUCCAUGACACCAACCUCAGUUGAUCCAUCUACCCAAAUCCGGUGAGGGAAAUUAUCUAAAAUAAUCUGGCUUUCAUAUAUGAACUUCACAAGCCUUGUCUUGCCAAUGCCUUUAACACCCACAAUUGAAAUGGUAAGGCAGCGGGGAUUAUCUUUCAGCAGUUGUUUUAUAACUGCAUCAACAUCCUCUUCAAGGCUAACUAUAUCAGUAUCAAGUUUCUCUGCAAAAGAAGAAGGUAAUCUUAUAUCACCAUCCCAGUGAUGCCCUGACCUUCGAUGGAUGGCUUCAUACCUUCUUUUAGAAAUAUCAGAGACUUUAUUCUGGAUUCCACCCAUUUGUCCGGAAAGCUUAUGUUGGGAAAUGAAAUUAUGGGGAGACCAAACUAAGCUUUUGGGAUUACCUAUCUCUUUUUUAGUCAAGAAGAGCCCAACAACAUUCUCAGCAGAGCGACAAACAUCGCAAAGUUGUUCGAUCCAUGCCAUUCUCUUUUCACUAAUUGUUUCUUGUGAUUCAAGAUCUUUUAGAAAGACCUUCAAAGACUUGAAUUCAUCUCUUAACAACCUGGCUUGCGUUCUAACUGGAGGCUUAAGCUGUCUCUUAGCAACUAAGGCUUCAAACUUAGAAAUUACAGGCGAAACAAUUGUAGUUCCUAUUUCCAAAUCAUAUGGGCUAAAGGUAUUAUGCCAAUAACCAGAUUGGAAAAACUUGCUGAAUAUUCUGGAAAUAUUAACUUUGAUCAGUUCCAAUUUCUUGUAGAAUCUGUCAAGUCGAUGAGUGCCAAAACAUAAAAGAAUUGUCUUGGCAGAUCAACAAGGCUCAAAAUACAGCGAAUGAUAGCUUCUCUACUCCUCCUUUGGGCUGAUCUGAUUAUCAACUCAUCAAUCAAAUCUUCAAUGUCAUACAUAAUCUCGAUUAAUACAUAUGGGG